Non-coding RNA from Dermacentor silvarum, 74 nucleotides. Lineage: Eukaryota; Metazoa; Arthropoda; Arachnida; Ixodida; Ixodidae. The record is from the annotation of a RefSeq genome assembly.
GCCGCAGUAGCUUAACUGGUAUAGAGCAUCGCACGUGUAAUGCGAAGAUGUGGGUUCGUGCCCCACCUGCGGCC